GACGAACGCUUUGUCGGCGUGCCUAAUACAUGCAAGUCGAACGCACUGACGUCGGCCGAAGCUGCUUGCAGUGGACGUUGAUUGACGUGAGUGGCGGACGGGUGAGUAACACGUGGGUAACCUACCCUUAAGUGGGGGAUAACAUUUGGAGACAGAUGCUAAUACCGCAUAACCAUUCAGACCACAUGGUCUGAAUGUAAAAGACGGCCUUUGGCUGUCACUUUUGGACGGACCCGCGGCGUAUUAGUUAGUUGGUAAGGUAACGGCUUACCAAGACAAUGAUACGUAGCCGACCUGAGAGGGUAAUCGGCCACAUUGGGACUGAGACACGGCCCAAACUCCUACGGGAGGCAGCAGUAGGGAAUCUUCCACAAUGGACGAAAGUCUGAUGGAGCAACGCCGCGUGAGUGAAGAAGGUUUUAGGAUCGUAAAACUCUGUUGUUGGAGAAGAACAGGGACUAGAGUAACUGUUAGUCCUUUGACGGUAUCCAACCAGAAAGCCACGGCUAACUACGUGCCAGCAGCCGCGGUAAUACGUAGGUGGCAAGCGUUGUCCGGAUUUAUUGGGCGUAAAGCGAGCGCAGGCGGUUUUUUAAGUCUGAUGUGAAAGCCUUCGGCUUAACCGAAGAAGUGCAUUAGAAACUGGGAAACUUGAGUGCAGAAGAGGACAGUGGAACUCCAUGUGUAGCGGUGAAAUGCGUAGAUAUAUGGAAGAACACCAGUGGCGAAGGCGGCUGUCUGGUCUGUAACUGACGCUGAGGCUCGAAAGUAUGGGGAGCGAACAGGAUUAGAUACCCUGGUAGUCCAUACCGUAAACGAUGAAUGCUAAGUGUUGGAGGGUUUCCGCCCUUCAGUGCUGCAGCUAACGCAUUAAGCAUUCCGCCUGGGGAGUACGACCGCAAGGUUGAAACUCAAGGAAUUGACGGGGGCCCGCACAAGCGGUGGAGCAUGUGGUUUAAUUCGAAGCAACGCGAAGAACCUUACCAGGUCUUGACAUCCUUUGACCACUGUAGAGAUACAGCUUUCCCUUCGGGGACAAAGUGACAGGUGGUGCAUGGUUGUCGUCAGCUCGUGUCGUGAGAUGUUGGGUUAAGUCCCGCAACGAGCGCAACCCUUAUGACUAGUUGCCAGCAUUUAGUUGGGCACUCUAGUAAGACUGCCGGUGACAAACCGGAGGAAGGUGGGGAUGACGUCAAAUCAGCAUGCCCCUUAUGACCUGGGCUACACACGUGCUACAAUGGUCGGUACAACGAGUUGCGAACCCGCGAGGGUAAGCUAAUCUCUUAAAGCCGAUCUCAGUUCGGAUUGUAGGCUGCAACUCGCCUACAUGAAGCCGGAAUCGCUAGUAAUCGCGGAUCAGCACGCCGCGGUGAAUACGUUCCCGGGCCUUGUACACACCGCCCGUCACACCAUGAGAGUUUGUAACACCCGAAGUCGGUGGGGUAACCCUUUUAGGGAACUAGCCGCCUAAGGUGGGACAGAUGAUUGGGGUG
This 1493-nucleotide ribosomal RNA is filed under the name Loigolactobacillus coryniformis. RNAcentral's name for it is "bacterial SSU rRNA". It matches the Rfam family "Bacterial small subunit ribosomal RNA". Lineage: Bacteria; Bacillati; Bacillota; Bacilli; Lactobacillales; Lactobacillaceae. The record is from RNAcentral.